RNAcentral lists this ribosomal RNA (500 nucleotides) under uncultured bacterium. RNAcentral describes it as "partial 16S ribosomal RNA". It matches the Rfam family "Bacterial small subunit ribosomal RNA", at positions 30 to 523 of the family's 1533-position model. The record is from RNAcentral.
AUUGAACGCUGGCGGAAUGCUUUACACAUGCAAGUCGAACGGCAGCACGGACUUCGGUCUGGUGGCGAGUGGCGAACGGGUGAGUAAUAUAUCGGAACGUGCCCAGUCGUGGGGGAUAAUGUAGCGAAAGCUACGCUAAUACCGCAUACGAUCUACGGAUGAAAGCGGGGGAUCGCAAGACCUCGCGCGAUUGGAGCGGCCGAUAUCAGAUUAGGUAGUUGGUGAGGUAAAGGCUCACCAAGCCGACGAUCUGUAGCUGGUCUGAGAGGACGACCAGCCACACUGGGACUGAGACACGGCCCAGACUCCUACGGGAGGCAGCAGUGGGGAAUUUUGGACAAUGGACGCAAGUCUGAUCCAGCCAUUCCGCGUGCAGGACGAAGGCCUUCGGGUUGUAAACUGCUUUUGUACAGAACGAAAAGGUCUCUAUUAAUACUAGGGGCUCAUGACGGUACUGUAAGGAUAAGCACCGGCUAACUACGUGCCAGCAGCCGCCGUAA